CAGCAGUUCUGUGUUUCAUGCUGAUGAGUUUGUCAUGUUUCUUUGUCUCCUUGAAAAAAUCUCACAAGUUGUGAUCCUGUGUUUCCAAUCCUCCAGGGUGACUACAGAUGAUUUGGGAUUCGCUAUGAAGGGAGCUGACAUGCUGUCUGGAGCAACAGAUGGGGUCCAGACUGUAAUCAUACACCUACAACGUGGCCAACAUGGGAGGCGGACGUAAUAAAUUAACCAUUGAGCGUUAAAGGAAAAAAGAAAAACAACAACAAGAUCCAGCAUGCACUUUUUCAGCAAUCUGUGCUACAGUAGCUGUUCUGUGCAGAGUCUUGGGUGACCAUGAUGCCCCUGUUGAUGCCCCUGUUGAUGCCCCUGUACCACUUUUGGUACAAAUCACUGUAUACCAGGAACACACAACAAGACCUGCUGUCAUUGUCAGAGAUGCUCAGAUCCUUCUACUUGGCCAAUUUUUAUUAUUGCUAAUAAUAAUUAAUA
Tachysurus fulvidraco (yellow catfish) is the source of this 486-nucleotide long non-coding RNA. RefSeq lists it as uncharacterized. The record is from RefSeq and is a predicted model, not a curated record. Lineage: Eukaryota; Metazoa; Chordata; Actinopteri; Siluriformes; Bagridae. The transcript has 3 exons.